Molecule: ribosomal RNA, 169 nt
Filed under: Acanthurus nigrofuscus (brown surgeonfish)
Lineage: Eukaryota; Metazoa; Chordata; Actinopteri; Acanthuriformes; Acanthuridae
Description: partial 12S ribosomal RNA
Source: RNAcentral
CACCGCGGUUAUACGAGGGACCCAAGUUGACAGACAAUCGGCGUAAAGAGUGGUUAAGUACUUAUUCUACUAAAGCCAAACACCUUCAAAGCUGUUAUACGCACCCGAAGGUUAGAAGCCCAAUCACGAAAGUGGCUUUAAACUAACUGAACCCACGAAAGCUAGGGCA